RNAcentral lists this ribosomal RNA (428 nucleotides) under uncultured bacterium. RNAcentral describes it as "partial 16S ribosomal RNA". It matches the Rfam family "Bacterial small subunit ribosomal RNA", at positions 354 to 796 of the family's 1533-position model. The record is from RNAcentral.
GUAAGGAAUAUUGGGCAAUGGGGGAAACCCUGACCCAGCGACGCCGCGUGAGGGAAGAAGGCCUUAGGGUCGUAAACCUCUGUUGUGUGGGAAGAAGAGCGUGACGGUACCACACGAGGAAGUCCCGGCUAACUCCGUGCCAGCAGCCGCGGUAAUACGGAGGGUGCGAGCGUUGUCCGGAUUUAUUGGGUUUAAAGGGUGCGUAGGCUGGAAGGUCAGUCAGCGGUGAAAAGCUGUCGCUUAACGAUAGUCUUGCCGCAGAUACUUCCUUUCUUGGAUGAGGAGGAGGCCACUGGAACGGAUGGUGUAGCGGUGAAAUGCAUAGAUAUCAUCCAGAACACCGAUUGCGAAGGCAGGUGGCUGUACCUUAAUCGACGCUGAUGCACGAAAGCAUGGGGAGCAAACAGGAUUAGAAACCCCUGUAGUCC